RNAcentral lists this long non-coding RNA (1660 nucleotides) under Bemisia tabaci. RNAcentral describes it as "lncRNA ENSSSA1UGG005772". The record is from RNAcentral. Lineage: Eukaryota; Metazoa; Arthropoda; Insecta; Hemiptera; Aleyrodidae.
AUGUUCCGGUCAGAAGCUUCUGAGCCCGUUUUCUCAGAACUUUAUUUUUGCAGUUACGGCUCUCUUCGCUAUCACGGCAGACAUACGCUGUGCCCCCCACCACCGACUCGGGCCCCAAGUCGGGCGUCCCUGAAAGCCCUCACCCACCGACACGCUUCGGCGGGGGGCCCGGGCGGUGGCGGUUACGAAACGAUCCGGUACGCGCUACACUACGCGAGCUUGGCGCUUUUCGAGCCGACCGCGACGAACGACGACCAGUCGUCUCGAGAUCCCGAUCCGCGUCUUCCGACCGACCGAGUCCCGAGUCGCGCGCUCCCCAGUCGCCCGACCGACUUGAGUGCCGACCGCGUCCGUACCCGUAUCGCGCAUCGCUCCUCGUGCUCGCUCCCCGCUCUCGCCAGGUGGUGCUGUUUCCUGGACGUGUGUGGGUUUUCCGGCGAGCCGACUAGAAUCCAGCGGGCGCCUCCGGGCUGGAGCCAUGUCAUUGUGAGCUUUUCCGUUUUCCUGCCGCGGCGAAGUUGGACAAGCGCGAGGACUUAGAGGAUGACGCCGCGGGCGAGCGUUUCGGAGCGGGUCCGCCGCGAGUUCAACAUGAGCAGCGAGGGCGUCCGGCGGGACGUCGAGCAUCUCAAGUCCUGGCUCAGGGGCCCAGCCCCACCUCCCGCCCCUCACAGGAGGUACGCCAUUCAACCUUUAACCACGCAAAUAUACGCAUGAUAUAGGAUCCAUAGAGAAAAUACAGAAGGUGGUGGCAAGGCAGCCAUCUUGAAGAUUUGUUUGUGACGUAGAAAAGGACGCGGACUGGCGCGCUGUUAAAAAAAAAGUACAUUUCAUGAAGGAACCUGUAUAUAAAGACCUACAUCACCACUCAAACUAACAUUGAAAGUCAUAUAAUUGAACAUCAGUUACUAUGACUCUCCAAUUUCUGCUUUUUUGACGCACAGAACGUAAUUUAACAUGGUUAUACCUUCAAAACGGGACGAGUGGAGAUCAAAGUUGUUAUUAUAUGAAAUGGGUAUAUAUUUUUAUCUUACAAAUUAUUUUCAGUUACAGUCGAACAUUGAUAGAGAAACACAUUGAAACAUAAAAAGUCAUAGUUACGAGAUUUUAGAGCAAAAAUAAGUGGGAACCUCACAACCUUUUCCGCUCCUUUAAACAUUUUAAAGAGGUCUCGGUUUUCCCGCUAUCCUAUUGACCAAUCAGAAGGGCGGCUUCAUUUUUAGCUGUGACGUAGAAAAGUACAUUUCUCCGCUUGCCACCACCUUCUGUAUUUUCUCUAUGUAUAGGAUCGUAAUCUACCGGGCUAUGGAAAAACGCCGCAUGAACCUUCAGGAGUUGCCAAAUGAGGUUUGAUAAAAUACGAAUACUUUGGUGAAAUUGGAUUGCAUUUUGCAGAAAGGAACCAGGAGCAUCUCAGUGUUGGUAAAAUUGUGCAUCUUCUUUUCUCUUGAAAGAAAAACCUAAUUAUUCACUAACAGUUCCUGUUUUACUUGCUAAAAACUAUAGAUUUAAGACAAACAUUAUUAAGUAAAUUUCAUAUUUUUUCAUGGUUUCAGUAAUUUUAUUGCAAAGGAUGAAGUUGCACAAUCUUAGGACCAUUGCAAUGCUUCUGGUUUCUUUUGCAAAAUGCAAUCCAAUUUUGAAUACCUUUCUUCUAAUG